UCCUGGCUCAGGAUGAACGCUGGCGGCGUGGAUAAGGCAUGCAAGUCGAGUGGGUUUAGACCCACGGCAAACUGGGUAGUAACAGGUAGGUACAAACCUAAAAGUCGGGAAUAACCCAUUGAAAAUGGAAUAAUACUCGAUAGUCCCUCCGGGGUAAAGAUUUAUCGCUUUUAGAUUGGCCUGCUCAGUAUCAGCUAGUUGGUAAGGUAAUGGCUUACCAAGGCUAUGACGCUUAGGGGAGGUGAGAGCCUGGCCCCCACCAUUGGAACUUAGACACUGUCCAAACUCC
This 289-nucleotide ribosomal RNA is filed under the name unidentified marine bacterioplankton. RNAcentral describes it as "partial 16S ribosomal RNA". It matches the Rfam family "Bacterial small subunit ribosomal RNA", at positions 17 to 339 of the family's 1533-position model. RNAcentral also lists the same sequence under 1 other name. The record is from RNAcentral.